Molecule: ribosomal RNA, 446 nt
Filed under: uncultured Rhodocyclaceae bacterium
Lineage: Bacteria; Pseudomonadati; Pseudomonadota; Betaproteobacteria; Rhodocyclales; Rhodocyclaceae
Description: bacterial SSU rRNA
Rfam family: Bacterial small subunit ribosomal RNA
Source: RNAcentral
UGGAUGAUGUGAUUAAUCGAUGCAACGCGAAAACCUUACCGUACCUUGACAUGUCCGGAAUCCGAAGAGAUUUGGGAGUGCUCGCAAGAGAGCCGGAACACAGGUGCUGCAUGGCUGUCGUCAGCUCGUGUCGUGAGAUGUUGGGUUAAGUCCCGCAACGAGCGCAACCCUUGUCAUUAGUUGCCAUCAUUUGGUUGGGCACUCUAAUGAGACUGCCGGUGACAAACCGGAGGAAGGUGGGGAUGACGUCAAGUCCUCAUGGCCCUUAUGGGUAGGGCUUCACACGUCAUACAAUGGUCGGUACAGAGGGUUGCCAACCCGCGAGGGGGAGCUAAUCCCACAAAGCCGAUCGUAGUCCGGAUCGCAGUCUGCAACUCGACUGCGUGAAGUCGGAAUCGCUAGUAAUCGUGGAUCAGCAUGUCACGGUGAAUACGUUCCCGGGUCUU